RNAcentral lists this ribosomal RNA (444 nucleotides) under Triticum aestivum (bread wheat). RNAcentral's name for it is "partial small subunit ribosomal RNA". The record is from RNAcentral. Lineage: Eukaryota; Viridiplantae; Streptophyta; Magnoliopsida; Poales; Poaceae.
AUGGCGGCCGCCGCGCUCAGGGUUCAGCUCGAGGCGCUCCUCGAGAACAUGUUCGCCACGGGUAUGGUGGACGAGCAGUUCCGGCAGCUGCAGUCGCUGCAGGAGGGGGGCAGCGCGUCGGGCUUCGUCGCCGAGGUCGCCACCCUCUUCAUCGACGACGCCGACCGGAUCAUCGCCGACAUCGGGAGCCUGCUGGACCAGCCCGUGGUGGAUUUCGACAAGGUGGACGCCCACGUGCACCAGCUCAAGGGGAGCAGCUCGAGUGUUGGUGCUCAGAAAGUGAAGCUCGCCUGCAUGCACUUCCGCCAGUUCUAUGAGGCAAAAAGCAAAGAAGGGUGCCUCAUGGCGUUGGCUCUUGUUAGGAGUGAGUUCUGUGAUGUGCGCAACAAGUUCCAGACCAUGAUGCAGCUGGAGCAGCAGAUCGAGGCCUGCAGUCCCAAGUAG